AAUGAACGUUGGCGGCGUGGAUUAGGCAUGCAAGUCGCGCGACAAGGUUCCUUCGGGGACUGGAGGAGCGGCAAACGGGGUAGUAAGGCAUCGGAACGUACCCUCUCGUCUGGGAUAGCCACGGGAAACUGUGAGUAAUACCGGAUGAUAUCGAGAGAUCAAAGGUCCGCCGCGAGGGGAGCGGCCGAUGUGAUACCAGCUAGUUGGUGAGGUAAUGGCUCACCAAGGCUUAGACGUCUAGGGGGUGUGAGAGCAUGGCCCCCACCACUGGACGUNAGAUACUGCCCACGACACCUACCGGGUGGGCUG
This 309-nucleotide ribosomal RNA is filed under the name uncultured bacterium. RNAcentral's name for it is "bacterial SSU rRNA". It matches the Rfam family "Bacterial small subunit ribosomal RNA", at positions 29 to 351 of the family's 1533-position model. The record is from RNAcentral.